RNAcentral lists this long non-coding RNA (1077 nucleotides) under Calidris pugnax (ruff). RNAcentral's name for it is "lncRNA (ENSCPUG00000013334.1)". Lineage: Eukaryota; Metazoa; Chordata; Aves; Charadriiformes; Scolopacidae. The record is from RNAcentral.
CUGGACUCUAUUGAAUCCCUUCCUCUCUAGGAUCUAAAACAGGUUGUUUCCCUGCCCCUGCUCUUUCCAGGUGGGAUGCUUGACAGAACAAUGUUCCUGCUCCAGUGGGAUCUGGGCUUGGGUCCUCCUGGAGAGUGAAACAAGUUCAGCUGCUUUUUGGUUCCUUCUGGGAGGAAAGACCUUGAGCCAUAAGUGGGACAAUGCCUCACCUCAGGGCAGGCAAGGUCAUUGUACCAGUGACAUUGGUCUUUCUUUACAGGAAGGACAGUGGAGGCAAACAUCAAAGGGGCCCUGGAAUCCUUUCGAGAGAAGGACCUCCAGCAGAUUUCUGAAAAAAUGCAAGCUCUGCAGACAGUUUUGCAGAACAUGCAGGGGUCCACAGAGCAGCACCUGGAGAUCCUGAGAGCAGACAUGGAGAACCAAUUAGGAAGGACAGUGGAGGCAAACAUCAAAGGGGCCCUGGAAUCCUUUCGAGAGAAGGACCUCCAGCAGAUUUCUGAAAAAAUGCAAGCUCUGCAGACAGUUUUGCAGAACAUGCAGGGGUCCAGAGAGCAGCACGUGGAGAUCCUGAGAGCAGACAUGGAGAACCAAUUAGGAAGGACAGUGCAGACAAACAUCAAACGGGCCCUGAAUUCCUUUCGAGAAAAGGACCUCCAACGGAUUUCUCAACAAGUGCAAGCACUGCGGACAGGUUUGCAGGACAAUCAGAGGUCUCCAGAGCAGCACCUGGAGAUCCUGAGAGCAGACAUGGAGAACCAAUUAGGAAGGACAGUGGAGGCAAACAUCACACGAGCUCUAGAAUCCUUUCGAGAAAAGUAUCUCCAGCAGAUCUCUCAACAAGUGCAAGCACUGCAGACAGAUUUGCAGAACAUGCAGGGGUCCACAGAGCAGCACCUGGAGAUCCUGAGAACAGACAUGGAGAACCAAUUAGGAAGGACAGUGGAAGCAAACACAGCAAAGGCCCUGGAUUCCUUUGGAGAGAAGGCCCUCCAGCAGAUCUCUCAGCAAAUACAGAUGCUGCAGACAGCUUUUCAGAACAUGUCGAGGUUAACACAGCAGGACCUGGAGAACCUCAGA